UGGCGGACGGGUGAGUAACGCGUGGGUAACCUGCCUCGUACAGGGGGAUAACAGUUAGAAAUGACUGCUAAUACCGCAUAAGACCACAGCACCGCAUGGUGCAGGGGUAAAAACUCCGGUGGUAUGAGAUGGACCCGCGUCUGAUUAGGUAGUUGGUGGGGUAACGGCCUACCAAGCCGACGAUCAGUAGCCGACCUGAGAGGGUGACCGGCCACAUUGGGACUGAGACACGGCCCAG
This 238-nucleotide ribosomal RNA is filed under the name uncultured bacterium. Its description in RNAcentral is "partial 16S ribosomal RNA". It matches the Rfam family "Bacterial small subunit ribosomal RNA", at positions 96 to 334 of the family's 1533-position model. The record is from RNAcentral.